GUACAGUAUGCAGUAGGCCCUUUGUAUCCAAGGAUUCAACCAACUGUGGAUGGAAAAUAUUUUUUUUAAACCCAAUAAAAACAAUAUAACAAUAAAAACUAAUGUAAAUAAAACAAUAUAGUAUUAACUAUUUACAUAGUAUUUACAUUGUAUUAGGUGUUGUAAGUAAUAUAAAGAGGAUUUAAAGUAUAUGGAAGGAUAUGUAUAAGUUAUGUACAAAUACUGUACCAUUUUAUAUCAGUGAUUUGAGCACCUGUGGAUUUGAUAUCUAUGGGGGUCCUGGAACCAAGCCCCCAUGGAUACGGAGGGACAAUUUUAUCACUCAGAGAUUCUGGAUUCUGGACUUUGAACUCAAUGCCAUGACUGAGGAAGACCAUGGGGUUUUCUCUCUUAGAGGGGAAUGAACCCAGAGCUUUGAGUUGAGAUGGGGGUGCCAUAAGAUUGAAGUACUCUGAAAAACAGAGCUUAAAGGCUUUUAACAGGGCUCAGUAAACACUUAAGGAAGUUGCCGUGCACUGCAGCCUGCCGGAGACAUGAAGGAAUGUACGGGAGGAUAAUUGCAACAUCAUCAACCCAAUUCUCCAAGUAAUUUGCCAUGGGACAGGCACACCCCAUGUGUUUGGGAAGACAAUGGGAAGGUUCUGUUUUCUGCUCCAAGACUGAUUCAACCAGUUGGAUCUGGAAGGGGAUAAAGGGCUGUGCGGCUGCUUGAUUUUCAUUGUCUAGUGGCAGCCAAAAUUGGAAAAGAGAGAAGUGCAGACUUUAAAGGCAAGCAGCGACAGCUCAUCAGCAGUCUAACAACACGACAGAUGACAGGCCCAGA
RNAcentral lists this long non-coding RNA (823 nucleotides) under Pongo abelii (Sumatran orangutan). Its description in RNAcentral is "lincRNA". Lineage: Eukaryota; Metazoa; Chordata; Mammalia; Primates; Hominidae. The record is from RNAcentral.